CGCCCUCAUUGAAAUCGAAAGUGGAAUUUGUUGUUCAAAUUUAUAAACAAGUUCUUAUAACUUUUUUUGUGUAGUUAUUGCCUUUUUUGGUUAAUUUUCUAAAUAAAAGGAAACUGUUCAAUUAUUACACUUCACAGAGAAACCGAAACCAACAACAAAGUCAUGGACGACGACAUCGACGAUGACGAUGACGAUGAUGAUGA
This 203-nucleotide long non-coding RNA is filed under the name Mytilus galloprovincialis (Mediterranean mussel). The record is from RNAcentral. Lineage: Eukaryota; Metazoa; Mollusca; Bivalvia; Mytilida; Mytilidae.